This 88-nucleotide ribosomal RNA is filed under the name Citrobacter koseri. RNAcentral's name for it is "partial 16S ribosomal RNA". It matches the Rfam family "Bacterial small subunit ribosomal RNA", at positions 1446 to 1533 of the family's 1533-position model. RNAcentral also lists the same sequence under 85 other names. The record is from RNAcentral. Lineage: Bacteria; Pseudomonadati; Pseudomonadota; Gammaproteobacteria; Enterobacterales; Enterobacteriaceae.
GAGGGCGCUUACCACUUUGUGAUUCAUGACUGGGGUGAAGUCGUAACAAGGUAACCGUAGGGGAACCUGCGGUUGGAUCACCUCCUUA